AUCUAUUGGCGUACAGGAAUAAAAUAAUGCAACUUCUAUUGACAUUCAUCUCACCUUUAAAUAUCUGUUUUUUUAGUGUCUGUGAUAACACAGAGGCUUAGAACAGCCGAGUGACUCACCCAAAGUCACACAGCUGGGAAGUGCACCUGAUUCCAAAGCCCAUCCUGCCCUUCACAUAUGCUGAGCCUUGCACAGACAGGAGCAGGAUCUGGAGCCGAAGGAGCAGGACAGUGGCUGAGAGGUCAGAAUGGAGUGACAGGGGGAUGGGAAAGAGGGGUCACUUAGACCCUGGUGACAGCUGACAGAACUGUGCUGGCCUCCUAGUCAGUCACUCAUGCUCAGCUGCAAAUGUCCAUGGUGAAGAAAACCCAGGUGUCCCACUUUCCCAGGAUUCACUUGCUGGAUUUAUAAUGCACACCUCUGACUGACACUGCUGAAAGAACUUUAUUUUUAAGGAACUGUACUUUAUUUUUUACUUUAUCUUACUUUAUUACAAUAUUA
Molecule: long non-coding RNA, 501 nt
Filed under: Chinchilla lanigera (long-tailed chinchilla)
Lineage: Eukaryota; Metazoa; Chordata; Mammalia; Rodentia; Chinchillidae
Description: lncRNA (ENSCLAG00000027769.1)
Source: RNAcentral